Molecule: long non-coding RNA, 652 nt
Organism: Entelurus aequoreus (snake pipefish)
Lineage: Eukaryota; Metazoa; Chordata; Actinopteri; Syngnathiformes; Syngnathidae
Exons: 3
Source: RefSeq, a predicted model, not a curated record
AGAUCCGGGCCAAGUCAGAGUACUCCAAACUGUCUGCGACCUGGAGACAAUUACAGCGAUGGCCCUCCUCAACAAUCGGGCCAGCAGUUGAGUGUCAAAAUGCUGUCCCUUUUGGUCGCCCUGGAAACAAACCUGCUGGAACAGGAAAGCGCAUCCUUGACCGGAAAAAAGUUGAAGGAAUCCUAACGUAUGUCCUGAGAUGCGGUACCCUUCCUGAUUGGGACAAUAUUGAGGAGGCCAAGCUCAAGAAAGCUUUGGUAAACAAAUGUCGGGCCAGAGCAGGUUUUAAGUAGGCCCUUGUAACUGCCAAGUUCAUUCUGGGGUAGGAUGUUUCCUUUGUAAACAUGUGUAACCUAUUUUUAUGGGCAUGCCUCUUAAUGAUGUUAAGUUCCUGUUAUAGGCUGUUUUGCAGUGUAUGCUUGGAGCUCUUGUUUUGAAGGCGCCUAGAGCGGAAGUGAUGUCAUGUGUUGUGAAGGGGAGGUUUUUGAGAAGAAGAAAAAUAAAGUGGUCCUCGUGUGAACUGGAGCCUCCGUGUUUGUUAUUUUGUAGUUUGAUACAGUCUAGGCGAUAUUUAUAAACCCUCGGUUACAUUGGUGGCAGCGGUGGGAUUUUCGGUCCCGCUAAAGAAAGACGUUUAUUAAUGCAAAGUUCU